Molecule: non-coding RNA, 304 nt
Organism: Toxocara canis (dog roundworm)
Lineage: Eukaryota; Metazoa; Nematoda; Chromadorea; Rhabditida; Toxocaridae
Source: Rfam
GCUGGUCGUACAAUGAGUGACGCGCCUGUAAUGCAAGCAACUGGCAGGCAGAUGGUGGUGGACGGAGUGAGAGGAGGAGUCCUGCCGGGUGCUCGGCGGCGUCGACCGAGCGUCCAGGCCAAGCGCGGCGUCGAUAAGCUGUCACUGGGGGAGCCUGGAGACAGCUGGUCGUACAAUGAGUGACGCACGGCUCAGGGCCGAAAGGCAGCAGGCAAAAGUCGCCGCGUCGCGACAGUGGUCGGAUCGCGCUUGCGAGUCGUUGACACUCGACAGCCUUCUCAAUACCUUCGUUCCCGUCGUCGAU